AGUGAACGCUGGCGGUAGGCCUAACACAUGCAAGUCGAACGGCAGCACAGAGGAGCUUGCUCCUUGGGUGGCGAGUGGCGGACGGGUGAGGAAUACAUCGGAAUCUACUCUGUCGUGGGGGAUAACGUAGGGAAACUUACGCUAAUACCGCAUACGACCUACGGGUGAAAGCAGGGGACCUUCGGGCCUUGCGCGAUUGAAUGAGCCGAUGUCGGAUUAGCUAGUUGGCGGGGUAAAGGCCCACCAAGGCGACGAUCCGUAGCUGGUCUGGGAGGAGGAUCAGCCACACGGGAACUGAGACACGGUCCAGACUCCUACGGGAGGCAGCAGUGGGGAAUAUUGGACAAUGGGCGCAAGCCUGAUCCGGCCAUACCGCGUGGGUGAAGAAGGCCUUCGGGUUGUAAAGCCCUUUUGUUGGGAAAGAAAUCCAGCUGGCUAAUACCCGGUUGGGAUGACGGUACCCAAAGAAUAAGCACCGGCUAACUUCGUGCCAGCCGCCGCCGUAA
Molecule: ribosomal RNA, 506 nt
Filed under: uncultured bacterium
Lineage: Bacteria
Description: partial 16S ribosomal RNA
Rfam family: Bacterial small subunit ribosomal RNA
Source: RNAcentral